GAUGAAGAACGUAGUGAAAUGCGAUAAGUAGUGUGAAUUGCAGAAUUCCGUGAAUCAUCGAAUCUUUGAACGCACAUUGCGCCUUCUGGUAUUCCGGAAGGCAUGCCUGUUCGAGAGUCAUUAACAACCGUUUCGAUCCCUUUCUUUCAGAAAUUACAAAGAGGAAAAGGGUUUGGCUAUGGUGGAGGAGGGAAAGGGAGCGUUUAGCCUGUAAAAAAAGAGGCUGUGUUCCGCCUCCCCCCCAAAAUUGUACAGGCGGUCGUGUGCGCCCACGCAUCGAGGUGUUGUAAAAGCUGCCACGGCACUUUUCACCUGUGCAGUGCGAGAUUGGCCAGCCGGUUUAAAAACCCCUCCAAACAAUCAAAGGUUGACCUCGGAUCAGGUAGGGAUACCCGCUGAACUUAAGCAUAUCAAUAAGCGGAGGA
Molecule: unclassified non-coding RNA, 425 nt
Filed under: soil metagenome
Description: partial contains 5.8S ribosomal RNA, internal transcribed spacer 2, and large subunit ribosomal RNA
Rfam family: 5.8S ribosomal RNA (bases 1-120)
Source: RNAcentral